This is a long non-coding RNA of Saccostrea cuccullata (small rock oyster), 286 nucleotides long. RefSeq lists it as uncharacterized. The transcript is spliced from 3 exons. The record is from RefSeq and is a predicted model, not a curated record. NCBI's taxonomy places the organism in Eukaryota, Metazoa, Mollusca, Bivalvia, Ostreida, Ostreidae.
UUUUUUGUGAUCAAGCAGCCAUGGGUAGGAGAAAGCUAAAUGUGGACUCUGUACUGGCUUGAAAUGAUGCACUGACCUAUAAUUGUUGAUGAUUGUCAUAUGAAGGAAACCAGAACUGUUGGAUUUCAGUUUUCUUGUCCUAAGCCACAUAAGAGAUCCCUUGCCACACAAACGAAAGUGAAACGGAAUGACAAAGUGGUCCACACAAUGGAUACAACUGUAAAGUCCAAAGAGAUUGGAAUUAGUUGCAACUUAGAAUUUGAGAAUGCCCAUAAAAACGUAAGGU